Molecule: microRNA, 21 nt
Filed under: Callithrix jacchus (white-tufted-ear marmoset)
Lineage: Eukaryota; Metazoa; Chordata; Mammalia; Primates; Cebidae
Description: cja-miR-9946
Source: miRBase by way of RNAcentral
GAGAGAAUAUUUAAUUCCACC